Molecule: long non-coding RNA, 295 nt
Organism: Triticum dicoccoides
Lineage: Eukaryota; Viridiplantae; Streptophyta; Magnoliopsida; Poales; Poaceae
Exons: 3
Source: RefSeq, a predicted model, not a curated record
CAAAUAUUUAGCACCUAAUUACACAUUUUUUGUGGCAGGACAUAUUGAUGGACAAUUCUUAUGAUGGUAUAGCUGUAUAUGAAGUUCCAUAUACAUGGAUCCCCACUCAUCUGGUUGAGAUUCACCACUGAUGACACGAGUCUGUUACCCUGCUCCUGUGAAGGUAGCCGAAGGCCUGCAGCUCCCACCGUGAUAUCCUCUCUCGGCUUUCGCAUCUUCAUGCCCUAUGAGAAGGUGAACCACUCUAUCAAAGGCGAUGAACUCAUCCAAUUUGUACCUCCAAAAAACUUACUUC